Molecule: non-coding RNA, 859 nt
Organism: Labrus bergylta (ballan wrasse)
Lineage: Eukaryota; Metazoa; Chordata; Actinopteri; Labriformes; Labridae
Source: RefSeq, a predicted model, not a curated record
CACUUGGCACACCUCCUUGUAAGCCAAUGGCAGGCAUUAUUUCUGUUUAACAGUUCCUGAUUGUGGAAGUGGAGUGUAUACAAGGCUGUGGAGCAACAAGCACACAUUCCAAAUCCAAAUCCAGUUUGGAACCACUGCCCUGGAGGGUACGGCGUAGCCCUGUGACACGCUGAAUGCGUUUAGGUUACAAACAUAAUGAUGACAGUAACUACGGAUGUUAUCAGAAAACCUACCGAUGAUUUCUGCAAGCUGGAUCCGCAGCAUUGUGCUUCAUGUGCCGAAAUUUCAGAUGACAGGUGGUACAGUGUCCCUGCGCAGCACUUCUUCUGUUUGUUCUUAAUGUUGUAGGCUUGAACCCCACAGCAGCGCUUGUUUUCUUCUUUGGAAUGUCUGUGUGGAUACAGGUUUAGCAGUGAGUGUCACAUCAGGGGAGUGAGAUGAAGAAAUUAUUAUAAUUGUAUUGUGAUCAUUUAAAGAUAGAUGGUCUAAAAAGGGGGCUAUGGAUGUGAGAUUGACAUCACUUCUGCAACACAGUGUCUAAAAUGAUAUGUUCAGCCACUGUACUGUUGUAUCACAGUAGUGAUCAUUACUAAAAGGGGGGGGAAGACUUGAAGCAUAAAAAUCUGAGUAAAAUGCAUGUUAUGCUGUUAGUGUUAGAAGGUGUACUGAUUAAAAUAAAAUAUCUAUUUAAAUAGAAAAUCAUGUAUCAGACAGAAAUGACUAAAAACACUGCUGAAAAGCACCAGUGAACCAAACUGACUCAGAACAGCGUGGAAAUAUUAUCAAUCAAAACACAUGUAGAUUAGCAAGUUAGUUUUUUCUCUCCAGGCAGAUUUUGAAAAAGAAAAAAAAAAAAAAA